UACGAGGGGGGCGAGCGUUGUUCGGAAUUAUUGGGCGUAAAGGGCGCGUAGGCGGUUGGGUAAGUCUUGUGUGAAAUCUUCGGGCUCAACUCGGAGUCUGCACGAGAAACUAUCUGGCUUGAGUGUGGGAGAGGGGAGUGGAAUUCCUGGUGUAGCGGUGAAAUGCGCAGAUAUCAGGAGGAACACCGAUGGCGAAGGCAGGUCUCUGGGCAUUAACUGACGCUGAGGAGCGAAAGCAUGGGGAGCGAACAGG
Molecule: ribosomal RNA, 253 nt
Filed under: uncultured bacterium
Lineage: Bacteria
Description: partial 16S ribosomal RNA
Rfam family: Bacterial small subunit ribosomal RNA
Source: RNAcentral